UACGGAGGGUGCAAGCGUUGUCCGGAUUUAUUGGGUUUAAAGGGUGCGUAGGUGGUUUAAUAAGUCAGUGGUGAAAUGUAACAGCUCAACUGUUAACGUGCCAUUGAUACUGUUAGACUUGAGUAUCGUUGAGGUAGGCGGAAUUUAUGAUGUAGCGGUGAAAUGCAUAGAUAUCAUAAAGAACACCGAUAGCGAAGGCAGCUUACUAAACGAUAACUGACACUGAGGCACGAAAGCGUGGGGAGCGAACAGG
Molecule: ribosomal RNA, 253 nt
Filed under: uncultured bacterium
Lineage: Bacteria
Description: partial 16S ribosomal RNA
Rfam family: Bacterial small subunit ribosomal RNA
Source: RNAcentral